This 82-nucleotide microRNA precursor is filed under the name Poecilia formosa (Amazon molly). Its description in RNAcentral is "miRNA (ENSPFOG00000020995.1)". Lineage: Eukaryota; Metazoa; Chordata; Actinopteri; Cyprinodontiformes; Poeciliidae. The record is from RNAcentral.
AUUUUUAUAUAUAUAUAUAUAUAUGUGUGUGUGUGUGUGUGUGUGUGUGGUGAAUUCAGCACUUUCUUUACAAGUAGAUGAA